RNAcentral lists this ribosomal RNA (252 nucleotides) under uncultured bacterium. Its description in RNAcentral is "partial 16S ribosomal RNA". It matches the Rfam family "Bacterial small subunit ribosomal RNA", at positions 524 to 776 of the family's 1533-position model. The record is from RNAcentral.
UACGUAGGGGGCAAGCGUUGUCCGGAAUUAUUGGGCGUAAAGCGCGCGCAGGCGGCUAUUUAAGUCUGGUGUUUAAACCUUGGGCUCAACCUGGGGUCGCACUGGAAACUGGAUGGCUUGAGUACAGAAGAGGAAAGUGGAAUUCCACGUGUAGCGGUGAAAUGCGUAGAUAUGUGGAGGAACACCAGUGGCGAAGGCGACUUUCUGGGCUGUAACUGACGCUGAGGCGCGAAAGCGUGGGGAGCAAACAGG